This 6484-nucleotide long non-coding RNA is filed under the name Vitis vinifera (wine grape). RNAcentral describes it as "long non-coding RNA (VVIN_LNC005158)". The record is from RNAcentral. Lineage: Eukaryota; Viridiplantae; Streptophyta; Magnoliopsida; Vitales; Vitaceae.
CACAAGAUCCGUAACUGGAACUGGUGAUGUGUUGCCCAAAUUGAAAAUCCUCAAUUGAGCUGGCCCCUUCUUCUUCCCUCCACUACCAGUGCUCUUCUCCGCCGUAUCCAAUGCUGCCACACACCCCUUCACGAUAUCAUCAAUGUAGGUAAAAUCCCGGGCAACCGUACCACGAUUUGGUGCCUCAAAGAUGGGAAUCGAUUUCUCCUUCAAAAUAUCCCGCGUGAAAAAGAAAUACGCCAUAUCAGGCCUCCCCCAAGGUCCGUAAACGGUAAAGAACCUCAACCCAGUAAGCGAAAGGCCAUAUAUAUGAUUAUAAGUAUGGGCAAUCUCUUCGCCAGCCUUCUUGGUGGCGGCAUACAGGCUGGCAGGCUGAUCAGUCCGAUCUCUCUCGGAAAAGGGUACCUUUGUAUUGAGUCCAUACACUGAACUCGAAGAAGCCCACACAAUUGCAGGCUGUGGAUUCGCAGAUUUACAGACUUCAAGAAGAUUAACAAGGCCAGCAAUAUUACUAUGAACAUAUGAACUUGGAUUUUCCAUUGCGUACCGAACACCAGCCUGAGCGGCCAAAUGCAUUACAUGGGUAAAUGCAACUACCUCGAAUAGUUUCUUGAGAAGCUUUGAAUCAUUGAUAUCACCCUCGACAAUGAAUACACCUGUACGCUCAAGAAGAGCUUGUCGGGCACGUUUCAAGGAGGGAUCAUAGUAGUCAUUGAAGUUAUCCAGCCCAAUAACGCCAUCGCCACGGCGCUUGAGUGCGGCGGAGACGUGGGUUCCGACGAAUCCGGCAGCGCCGGUGACGAGCACAGAGAUCCCAUUGCGAGCGCGCACUUUGGCCGAUGAUCGGACCCGCUUUUCCCAGGCAGGACCGCCCCAACUGUGGGUCCGUAGGGACCGCCGGGUAGGAUCGGACGGCAGAGAUGAAGAUGACGGCGAUAGGAACAAAACGAUGAAAAUCAAGCCCGAGAAGACGAAGGACCAAAAUGUGAGCUUGGCAAGAGAGGAGUGCCACCUGAGUCUCUUCUCCAUCUUGAACUUACCUGGGGUGGAAGGGAUAUUGUCAAGAUGGGACAUUUGCUUGAGCUGAGACUUUUUCCAGAGAAAAUGAUGGACUCUGAAACAAACCCAGAUUUUCUCUUCUUGUGAUUCCCCACAAUGCGAGUGAAAUUUAGAGGAAAGAAGAAAUCUAGGGUUUGGGUUCCAGUAAUGAACCUUGAGAAAUUCUUGCUGUUGCUGUUGCUGUUGAGGAAAACGAAAUAAAAGAAAAGGGUUUGCCCUCCUUCACCUCUCUACCUUACUGAGCAUACAUAUGCACAUAUGGAAUCUUGCAGUUUCUUGGAAGUAUUGGUUGGUGGUGGUCGUCACAUUUCGGGCUUAUAGUUCUACAGACGAAAGAUGGAGACAUGAUCGUGAAUCAAUGAUUAAGCAAAUACUGAUUUUCUAGAGAGAAAAUGACAGAAUUUAAUGGAGAGAAACAUGAAUGUGUUUGAUGAAUUUAAAAUGAAGUAGUGGAUUGGGAUCAAUGAGAGUCAAAGCAACUACAAAAACAGUGUGGAAUAGCUCAGAUUCAAGAGAGAUUUGUUUAUAUAUUUUAUAUCAAGCAAUGGUUUCAUUAUGAGCUUAAAAUCAUACCAAAAAAAAGCAAAAAAAAAAAAAAAAAACAGUACUUAACAAUGGACAAAUGUUGUAAAACGACAAAUCUAUCUGUCUUUUUUUUUUUUGCCACUUUGAAUUGACAGGGGCCCAUGACUUUUGACAUCUCCAUUUUUAAACUCUCCUUAUUUAACAUUAUUUUGUGUGGGGCUUAUUAUCUUCCGCGUGAUGAAGAUGGUGUGGAUGAGAUUUCAAGUUAUUAUGAACCUUGUUUGGCAACUAUUUGAAGAAGAGUUUUCUACUUUAUUUAUUUAUUUAUUUUAAUAAUAAAAAAAUAUUAUACUUUUUUUUUUAAUGUCAUAAUAUUUUUGAGUUGUUUUCAUUUAUUUAUUUUAAUAAUUAUUUAAAAAUAAUAAUUAUAUAAAUAUAUAAAAUAAUUAAAAUCAAAAUACGGUAUAUGAAAAUUAUUUUAAGUUUUCAAAUAAAUUUUUAUUCUAUAAAACAUUAAAAAUAAAAUUUAAAAACUAUUCCUAAAAAUUAUUUUUUUAAACUGUUUUAAAAAAAUAAUUACCAAAAAAAGAGAUAUUCAUUUGUCUCUCAUUCCCUGUACAUUCCCACUUUGUAAAUAUCAUAAUAUAUUACAGAUAAGACACAAAAUAUUACCUAUAAUUCAUAUUUAAUAUUGAGACCGAGUUGUUAUAAAGAUAUGUAUAAUCUAAAAUAUUCUUGUUAAUUAAAUAUGAUAUUAAUAAAAAUAAUAAUAUCAUAAGGUAUUAUAUCCAAUAGAAUGUAUGUUAUAUAUUUGAAUUUAUAAAAUAUCGAAUAAGAAAACAUAUUAUAUUUUGAUAAGUAUAUAAAAAAUAUAUUGUUUCCAACAUUGUUAUUAAAAAAUAUGAAACAUUUGUCAUGUUCAGUAUUACUUAAAAAUCAUUCUAUAAUCUAUUAUUUAGUAAUUAAUUUUUUAUUUUUUAUUAAAAUAUUCAAGAUUAAAAUAUUUUUAUAUAUUAGUAUUAUUUUAUAUUUUAAUAUACGUAUUUUUUUUUAAAAUUAAAAUUUUACUUUUUUGACCCUAUUAAUGCUCCAAGCACUGUCAUUUACUCCUAGAGGAGCAAGUACAAAAUGUGAUAAUUCUACCUCAUAUCAUAGUCAAAAAGUCAUAUUAAGACAUGAAGUUUAGGUAAAAAAUAAUGACCCUCAAGGCUCACACAAUGAGAAAGCAUGAAUACAUUCAUCCACAUUCUUAUUAUAAGGUACUCUGUGUCAAAAAGAGAAUGUCUAAUUCUCUAAGGGAGAAUGGAAUGGUGCACCCUCGCGCAGUUCAAAGAUGAGUUUAUGUGUGCAAUUUUCAAUACAUAGAAGAUAUUUUUCCAAAUAUCCUUUUCCAUCAAACAAUAUAUGGCAAUCAUAUAGUGUGCACCCAUAUCCUAGUCCACGCAAGACUUGGUUCAUAAGGGUUUUCUUUCUUCCUAAUGAAAAUCUUAAUGUUAUCCUCCAUUGUGAGUAUACUAUCUAUCCCUCCUAGCCACUACAAAUACCAACAAACGCAUUUAAUUACCAAGCCAUCACCAGCAACACCUCUCCAUUGAUAGCAUUGCAACAAGUAAUGAAAAUUCUUAUAUUUGGUUUCUUCACUCUUAAAGAAUCAUGACGUGCAAGUGAGUGCAAAGCAAAGCUUGUUCUACAAGAAGUUCUGAAAGUUCACAGUUCCAGAUACAUGAAUGCUGGAAAGAAUCAAGGAAGCCCCUAAUGCUAGAGACUAGAAUCUUGGAAUUUUCUUCAUUUCCUUUUCUUCUGACAUUUCAGAUAUGAGUAGGAGAACCUUAUGAAACCGGUCCAUUUGGUUUAGCUUAAGCAUCUGGAUUGUCUUAUAGCAAUUCAGUUGACAGUAAUAUUUGGUAAGAAAUACUUGCAUUAUGGGUGCUUCAUAGGUUUGGCAUAAUAGAGGAAGAGGGACUAUUUGUGGCCUGAUGUCACCGGCCCAGACUUAAAACUAGGAACAGUAGCAUUUGAAUUUCUCAUGGUGCUUGAUAGGAGUAUUGUAUUCUUAGUAGCAAUUUCUCUUUAUUUUUUUUAACUCUAUAGCUUGGUGUUUUGAACAACCCAUGUAUUGAUUUUUCCUCCCGGAUUGAAACAUCCCAUUUAUCUGUCCUUCAUUUCAAAUAUAUUCCACGAUGGGAAUGAAAUCUGAUUUAUGCAAACCCAAACAUCACUGUUGUUUAGGACAUUACAAAUCAAAUAGGUUGUUUGUAGCUGCUAAAAUAUAUGCCCGAUGUGAAGAGAUAUUAGAUUCCAAUGACAGAAGGAACAAGUUCAGAGCACAUGCAUAGACAAAAAGAUGAUGUCAAAAGGAUUCUAAACGUAUACAACUAAGAGGAGUGAUACCAUGUAUAUGUUUGUAUUAACACAGCAGAAGAGGCGGCCUCCUUGGUAAGCCGCCUGGUUUGUCUUUGGAAUCACCUCACCUUGUGACAUGAAAGCAACUUUCGAUGAUCACAUCUCAAACUUUCUAUCAACUUUCCAUGGUAAAAAGCUAAGGUUCAUGCAGCCAUGCCACCAAAAUAGUGAAUGUGGAGCUACCAGUUCCAUAUAGAUUGUAAGGGAGAAAGAUCUAGUAAGGAGAAUACCCCCACCAUUCCUAAAAGCCUGUUCUAACCAAUAUUGCCAGAAAAAUGCUUACACAAAAACUAACCCACCACCCUAAAGGCUGUAUACCAAACUAUCAGGUUCCAUCUUCUUCCACAAAAUUAAUCAAUUAAGGACACACAGGACUACAAGCUGUCCCAGACGAGCUUGCAGAAUAGGAGGGUGUCAUUUAGAAUUUUAUGUCAAAAAAGAGAAAAAAAUACCCACCAGAAGGAUUAUAGAAGACCAUGUGUAUGUCUUUCUAGUCUUCAAGAUUUAAAAACCAUCCCCAAAUCAGCCAUGACUUAGAACCUCUACAUGUUCACACAGUUUACAAAGCAGAAAUUAGAACCAGGAAUACAUCUCUGUAGUCCAGAGCAACUCUCAACUAGAGCUCUAUCUUCGUCAUACUUAACCACAGUACAACAAUUGUCCUUUCUGUGUAACAAACACAAGAAUUUAUAAAUUUCUAUAGUAUUUCCUGAAUGAAAUAUGCUACUAAACAACUGGAAGCACUCAAAUGUUAUAAAAGAAAACAUGAGAAAACAUGAGACACUGAGAAAAAAGGACUAAACCACAUAUCCCAUAUGACAAUUAAGGGUUGGCUAGAUACAUGUAACUCAAUUUUGACACCAAAAUAAUUACAGCAACCUAGGAAGAGUCAAAAUAAGCCCCUUCAAUCACUCCAUGCUGUUGAUACUCCAUUUGAGAAUAACCUUCAAGAACACUUAAGGCUACAUCCACAAAAGGUUGUUGAGGGCAAGGGGAAAAACUAAAAUUUUUGAAGAAGUCGGUACCAGGUCAAGACCAGUGUAAGUUGUGAAAGAAGGACAUAUACAAAUCCAUAGUUGCAGAAGUUCAACAAAUCCAUAAUUGCAAAGUUAAUUUGAACUCAAAAUCAAUAACUCCAACUUUUAUUCAUAACCAAUCAUUUGAUUCAGAAAUUAAACAAAACAACUUCUGCCAAACAACUAUGAUUGGACAGCCAAAUUAUCAUACUUCCUAAUACCUUUCAACUUGUCAGCAUAUUUUGUCUGGAUAAAAAACAGAUAAAUCUUAAGAAAGUGAGAAUGGGAAGUGCAACAGUUCAGUAAUCAUUCAUUUAAGAAGCCAACAGGAAAGACGGGAUUGUGGCCUUCUGCAGUUGUAUUUCACAAGUAGGCUGGUUCUUAAGGUUCAAGAGAUUAGCCAUGGCAAAUGAAAUUAUUGAUGCACUCUACCUUUUUCAACAUAUUCAAUUAAACCACGAAGAAAAUAGAAAUCAAGUUAUCAUGUGCUAAUUUUAUUCAAAUUGCACAGAGAUGAUACAUGUCCACCAAUCAGCAUAUUAUGAUCUAUUGGCCAUUAAUUCUAAAAUGCUGAAACUACAACAAUUACAUCACCCACUUUCCACCUUCCAACUCCAACCCCUCUUUCCAAACCCCAAAAAGGAAAGGAAAAGGAUGGUUCAAGUUUUCUUUCAAUACAGCUCAGGACUCGAAGUACCCAGAAAACAAUAUCCACCAACAACAAAAUAUCCUCCCUCCUUAUACGACAACAUGUAGAUAUAUGAAAAGAAAAUAAUUGAUAAUUGGGCAAAGAACAGAGAGACUUGAAAACAAUCAUAAGAAUCAUAAUGAACAAGAAUGCAAAGGAUCCUACCACACGGUUCAAAGAAUGUUUUUACUGAGCACUCUUCUCCCCUGCUGAAUAGUAUUUGAUGUACCACCUAACAAAUUUCUUCAAACCUGUUUGCAGAUCUGUUGUGGGCUUGUAUCCGAGCUCCCUUUGAGCCAAGCUGAUGUUGGCAUGGGUAAACUGCACAUCCCCAUUCCUUGGCAUCUUCAUCAUCGUUCUUUUUGCCUUCACCUUCAAGAGUCUCUCCAAAAUGCUCACAAGAUCCGUGACUGGAACCGGUGAUGUGUUGCCCAAAUUGAAAACCCUCAAUUGGGCUGGCCCCUUCUUCUUCCCACCACUACCAGUGCUCUUCUCCGCAGUAUCUAAUGCUGCCACACAUCCCUUCACGAUAUCAUCAAUGUAGGUAAAAUCCCGGGCAACCGUCCCAUGAUUUGGAGCCUCAAAUAUGCGAAUCGAUUUCCCUUUCAAAAUAUCCUUCGUGAAAAAGAAAUACGCCAUAUCAGGUCUUCCCCAUGGUCCAUAAACGGUAAAGAACCGCAACCCAGUAAGCGAAAGGCCAUAUAUAUGAUUAUAAGUAUGGGCAAUCUCUUCGCCAGCCUUCUUGGUGGCGGCAUAGAGACUGGCAGGCUGAUCCGUCCGAUCUCUCUCGGAA